UGGGGAAUAUUGCGCAAUGGGGGGAACCCUGACGCAGCCAUGCCGCGUGAAUGAAGAAGGCCUUAGGGUUGUAAAGUUCUUUCGGUAUUGAGGAAGGUUGAUGUGUUAAUAGCACAUCAAAUUGACGUUAAAUACAGAAGAAGCACCGGCUAACUCCGUGCCAGCAGCCGCGGUAAUACGGAGGGUGCGAGCGUUAAUCGGAAUAACUGGGCGUAAAGGGCACGCAGGCGGUUAUUUAAGUGAGGUGUGAAAGCCCCGGGCUUAACCUGGGAAUUGCAUUUCAGACUGGGUAACUAGAGUACUUUAGGGAGGGGUAGAAUUCCGCGUGUAGCGGUGAAAUGCGUAGAGAUGUGGAGGAAUACCGAAGGCGAAGGCAGCCCCUUGGGAAUGUACUGACGCUCAUGUGCGAAAGCGUGGGGAGCAAACAGGAUUAGAUACCCUGGUAGUCCACGCUGUAAACGCUGUCGAUUUGGGGGUUGGGGUUUAACUCUGGCGCCCGUAGCUAACGUGAUAAAUCGACCGCCUGGGGAGUACGGCCGCAAGGUUA
RNAcentral lists this ribosomal RNA (547 nucleotides) under uncultured bacterium. RNAcentral's name for it is "bacterial SSU rRNA". It matches the Rfam family "Bacterial small subunit ribosomal RNA", at positions 355 to 896 of the family's 1533-position model. The record is from RNAcentral.